UUGCUGUGAUGAUGGAUUCCAUACCAUUCGUAGUUUCCACCAGAGACCUACACAGGUCAAUGUUGGCCUAACCUUCCUUGGAUGUCUGAGCAA
Molecule: small nucleolar RNA, 93 nt
Organism: Petromyzon marinus (sea lamprey)
Lineage: Eukaryota; Metazoa; Chordata; Hyperoartia; Petromyzontiformes; Petromyzontidae
Gene: SNORD14
Rfam family: Small nucleolar RNA SNORD14
About the family: U14 small nucleolar RNA (U14 snoRNA) is required for early cleavages of eukaryotic precursor rRNAs.
Source: Ensembl